RNAcentral lists this ribosomal RNA (253 nucleotides) under uncultured bacterium. Its description in RNAcentral is "partial 16S ribosomal RNA". It matches the Rfam family "Bacterial small subunit ribosomal RNA", at positions 524 to 776 of the family's 1533-position model. The record is from RNAcentral.
UACGGGGGGGGUAAGCGUUGUGCGGAAUUACUGGGCGUAAAGGGCUCGUAGGCGGCCAACUAAGUCAGACGUGAAAUCCCUCAGCUUAACUGGGGAACUGCGUCUGAUACUGGAUGGCUUGGAUUCGGGAGAGGAAUGCGGAAUUCCAGGUGUAGCGGUGAAAUGCGUAGAGAUCGGCAGGAACACCAGUGGCGAAGGCGGCCACCUAGCCCGCACCUGACGCUGAGGCGCGACAGCGUGGGGAGCGAACUGG